UACGUAGGGGGCAAGCGUUGUCCGGAAUCAUUGGGCGUAAAGAGCGCGUAGGCGGCCCUGUAAGUCCGCUGUGAAAGUCAAGGGCUCAACCCUUGGAUGCCGGUGGAUACUGCAGGGCUAGAGUCCGGAAGGGGCGAGUGGAAUUCCUGGUGUAGCGGUGAAAUGCGCAGAUAUCAGGAGGAACACCGAUGGCGAAGGCAGGUCUCUGGGCUGUAACUGACGCUGAGGAGCGAAAGCAUGGGGAGCGAACAGG
This 253-nucleotide ribosomal RNA is filed under the name uncultured bacterium. RNAcentral describes it as "partial 16S ribosomal RNA". It matches the Rfam family "Bacterial small subunit ribosomal RNA", at positions 524 to 776 of the family's 1533-position model. The record is from RNAcentral.